GUGGUGCUCUUGGUGGCUGCAGCUAAGAGUGUAUCCUGUCAGAACCCCAAGGACAGGCCAGUACAGAUGCCUGAAUACUAGCAUGUAUGAUGAAACCAAAGGUCAAUGCUAGGCAUCUUCCUCAACUAGUCUCCCUUCAUCUUAUUUAUCCAGAAAAAGGAUUUCCAGUUGUACCUAGAGGUCAUCGAUUUAGCCAGAUUAGCAAGCUAAACAGGGAUCCUUCUCUCUCUGCUGCCUCAAAGCUGGGAUUAUAGGUGCAUGAACCACAUGGCAGCUUUUAUGUGGAUCCUGGAGACUCAAACUCAGGUCCUCAUGUUUGUGCAGUUAUCACUUUACUGACUGAGCCAUCUGCAGAGCCCCUCUCAUUGGCUUUUGUUGGUAAAUAAUAUCUCACUCUAUAAAUGUGCCACCAAAAGGUUUGCUUUAGAUUGUUUGUUUUUAUAGUUUUUAUACUAUAAAAUGGAGCUAAUAGAGCUGUUAACCCACUACAGGGUUUUUGCAGAGGCUGACAACUACUGCAUCUCAUAAGACACUAAGCUCAUAGUGAACUCCAUCCACACCUCUUACUGUUGUUACUCCUCCUGCUAUCUUAUUCUUACACACUGACUUCAGGACAUCUGGGAUGUUAUAGAACAUUGUUCUGGGGAGUUUUUAUAAUACAGAAUGUGAGAUCAGGAACUCUGGGCUUGGGACUUGAGGAUAACAUCACCUGUGUACAACUAGGUCCUAUUUUUCUCUGGGUCUCCACUCAACAACCCAGGAAAUGAAAAUGAAACUGAAGUGAAGUAUGAGUGUCCCUCAGAAGACUUUUGGCAGGUCCAUGUCAGCCCAAUGCCUCUACUGCUAUUGAAACCCCUAUAGUCUGUUGUACUUAUGACUGCAUAAUUCUGCCUAGUGUCUGAUUGUCAGAUGGGACAAAAGAUUGGUCUCAAUAGGGACCUUCCCAGACAAGUGGAGUGUUAUAGUUCAUAUUUAUACUCAAACCUCAAUAGAGAAUAUUGAGAAUUGGGAGAAUAACAAACUGUACAGACCCAUGUCACUUUAACUCAUGGGUUUGUGUGUUAAUACCUAGAAAACUACUAGAAACUUUAGGUGGUAUGACCCAGCUGGAGAAAGUAGGUCAUUGGGAGUGGUGACUUGGGGGAGAUAUUCUUCCCUGGCUCUUUCUUGUGCUCUCCCUCUGCCGCUUGGCUACCAUGGCGUCAGCUUCUGUAGUCUACCACAGCUUCUCCAACAUGAUGAGGUUAAGCCUUUGAAAUGAUGAGCUGAAAAGAAAAAAAGCUCUCCUCUCUUCAUCCACUUCUCACAGGCUUCUGCCACAGUGCUAGGAAGUCUAACAUGGAGUCUAGGAUCUUCUGAGUAGAAAGGUGAUUGGCAGAGAUGGCUCGAUGCUUCCCUGCUUGACUUGAAGGAUUCCAAAGACUGUAAGCAUUCAUCAGAUAUCUGAACUCAAGGGCUACUGGAGUAAUCAAGUGUGUGGGCAAAACCACAGGAGGAAGCAGCAUUGGACAAUGGGUGUGUGGACCCAUUUUCUCAUAAUCAUUCUGCUGCCUAACUUCGCUCCCAUUAUUACUAUAAGGGUCAAAUGAGAAGUUUAGGGAAACGCUUUGUCACAGAAACCAAGUAUAAGUGUAAUUCUCAGUACCUAUUAUGAAUUCCUUACCAUCCCAGGCCAAUGGCUUAGCUUUUGUAGACUCACUUCCAUUGACACCAGUGGAAGUCAGGGUUCAGGAGAGUUAAUGAGAUAAACCACCUUCCAAGUAGCCUGGUGCUUGGCGUGUGUCUGUCAGAAGUGUGCAUUAAAUGCUCACCACAUUGUAUGACUUCCACCUCAGGUAGCACUCCAAAGUCUGUUUGGUUCACUAUUAUUCUUAUCAUCUCCAUUUUUUUUUUUAAAUUUCCAAGUCUCAAGCUCAGGGAAAUUAAUAACUUGCUCAAAAAUACCUGCCUCGUUAGAGUCGUUUUGUUUUCAUCUUCUAAAAAGCCCUGGCUGUAAAAAUGCUACACCUCGAUUGGAAAAAUGCCAGGUAGCAUAUCUCCCACUGAGGUCAAUUUAGCUCUCCGAUCCUUAGAGGUGAAGAAUGGGGAGGUUGUGGUAAUAAUGGCAAGAAAAAUGUCUCCUGUCCAGGUGAUUUCGGCUGGAGCUCCGCUUCUGUGCUGCGGAGAAUGUAUAUGCAUUCAGCCCAGGGCCUCCAUCUGUACCGAGGAGAGCAAGUCACACUGUCUAGGAAAGAGAAUGACUCAGGAGGAGCUGCGGAGACACUUGAAGUCAACCCAGUGUUGAUGUAUGAUAACCAGGGCAUGUUACUGAAAGGCAUAACGUAAUACGAAAAGUUAUUUUUCAGCCAAUCUGCUGAUGCAGCACCAUUUUGGGUCCCUAACUGAAAAUGAUAUAUGAAUUAUCUCAACCCAAAGUCAGAAGUAUAAAUUAUAGAAUAUAUCUUUCACUGUUUUAUUUGGGCUGUAAAGCGACACCUUAUUAUUUCUCCCUCCUGGGCUUCUUUUAAUGAAUCGGGAUUUGAAAGUGAAAUAUUUAUUAUAUUGCAGGGGAGAGAUUACAUCGUGCCUCAGAAAGGGCGGGGGGGAGGGAUAUGGAAAUCAGCCGGCAUCUUGGAAAUUGGGCUCUUUCUAGUUAUGAGAAAUGGCUGAUGCGGGUGUUUUUCCUGAGCUUUGUGUUAGUUGCAGAAGAGACCCCCCCCCCAGCGUGCUGAACACAGCUUGCUGAGUCAGGGGCACCCCCAUCCCCCAACCCACUCUCAUCUGCUCUUACCCACACACCCUCCUCAUCCGACUGGGGAAGAGUACUACCUGGCUGUGAAAGAGGGAAUACCAUGAGCCGUCUCAUCCCAUGUGACCAUGGAAAGGGUACCAGAGGGGGGCAGAGGAAGGAGCCAAGUCAUCUCCAUGGGUAUGCUGGGUAAUAAGAUUUCUUAUUUGUACAAUAGGGCAGUUGUUGAGACUCAGCACUGGCAUGAUAGGUAUGUUUCUUCCUCUAGAUCCCUGAUUAGUCCUGAUGGAUGGCUCUGGGAGUUUAGCAUGUCAUGUAACUGCUCAGGGACAGGCGACCAGAUUAUCUGACUGUUAAAAGUAAAAACACCAACAAGGGAUGCUCAGGGUUCCUCAUCACACACGAAGAGAGGAGAAGCAGCAUCCUUGGUGGAUCACAUCUACUAUGAUCUGGAAACAUCUGGGUGCCAAGGAGCAAAAUAAUCCAGCACAGAAGGCUCCAAGCCCCACAAUGGAAAUAAGCGCCUGUCAGCAGAAGGACACUCGCAGUUGCCUGUCCACCCACCCGGGGUUGCUGGCACCGUGGCCAGGACAAAUGUCUGCUUUGGAGAUGGGAUCUGGAGAUGAAGAAUAAUAAUAAAUUGUGAGUGGAACAGGACCGAGCAGUGCACACACCUCCCCAUCUGCUCUGGUACAGGCUGCUGGAUUUGCCUUAGAUUAGGUCCCUGUUUCUGUUCUGACAACAGAUGCCAGAGCCAUAAAUAACUGUGUGUUUUUCCCUUGAACUUUCGCUGCCAUCUCCUGAUGCCUUGUGUCACAUUGCAUUCUGGGGAGAGGUGCAGUGGAGCAUGCCGCCAUCUCUUCGUCCUCCCUCUGUCCCAACUUCUGAGCGCUGCCACCCCAAGUCCAAGGGCAAGCGCUAAGCUGUUGGCUGUGGUGAGGUUCCCUGUGGAGCACACAGUCUGGGGACCAGGAACCCUGGCCUCUCUCCCCAGUCAUCCGGCUUGACCCCAGAUUCUCCUGGGGGAACUCUGAAGUUGUUGAUUUGUCUGCACAGGCGGGGGCACUUGUGUGAGGUCAUGGGGACGACACAUCUCUGGCCGGGCAUUUAAGAAGGUAAAGGAGAUGAAAGGAAGGUCCCACAGACCGACAGCCUAGUCCUGGAAUCCCCCAGGCAAUAGACGGCAGCAUGUGGCACCCAGGGCCCCAGCCAAGGACUGACAGUAAUAUUUUGAGGAAGUGUCUCUUCCCGCUCUGGGGGUGUCACUAACCAACUCUGUCUCUCAUCCUUAAUGGUCACCUUCCUGGCCCCGCCUCCUUCUCUGAUUUGUUUUAACUGCAUUUGGCUCACUUAGAAAGUCAGAGUUACCCUUGGUACAGACCAGAAUGGAACAGUCUAUAAUCAAGAACAGCUAAAGCUGGGCUCUCUCAGCCAGUCUUAGUGACGGGUGACAAAUGGAUAAGAGAAUAACAAGCUCAGAUGUUGGCAAACAUUCAGAAGGAGGACCCAAUCCUCUUCCUGCAGCUCUGAUUCCAGUCUUGGUCUCCUCCUCCACCACCCCUCGCUCUCCUUCCGCGUCCUUUUCUCUCACUAUCCUCUCAAUAUCAUGACACCCCUCACCAUUUCUCUUCCAAUUUCCUUAUCACUCUUGUCUCGUUUUUCUUCUUUAUCAGACCAUCUGCCAUCCCUAAAGGUACUGCCCUGACACUCUCCCUUCCUUCCCUGCCCUUCUCCUCUCCUUUACCCUCCCUUCCUCUGUUCUCAAUGUUUCUGUCUGUGAGCACCUGCCUCUGCUUCUCCUUUUGCUUGCUGCAGGUUUUCUGAGCCUUCAAAGUGCUUCUCCUAUGGUCUUUCUCCUUGCUUUCUCUUUGGAUUCCCCCCCUCUGUCUGUCUCUGAACCUUCUUCUGGCUGUCUCAUUCAUUCCUUUCUCCCCACACUUUUUUUUUAUUUUCUUCUGUCCUGUCUCAUGACCCUCCCCCUCCCCUGGUUUUCUCCAUUCUGUUCUCCUGCAGCCUGUAUCUGUGCCUCAUCCACCCCAACUUCCCCCUUGCUCCUGUGAACAUACCCCUGCUUCCAGGGUAGCAAUGCUCUCUUGCCAUUAGCAUCUUAGUUUCUUUCCUGUUCCUCCUCCAGCACUGCCCAUCUGCUUGGAGGUUUAGCAUCUACCUUGUCUUUCUGUGGCAAGCUGGUUGUGUGCUAUAUACAUGAAGGUUAGGUGUGAGUGGUCCAGGGUAGAAUAAACUAGUGGAAAACCAGAAGGAGCAAUGCAAGGGGAAGCAAUGAGAAAAUAUUCCUGGGGGGAUGCAGGAGUUGACUGGCCUCAAGGAGAGGAGACCUUGAGGGACUCAAUAAAGUCUGCAAAUCUGAAGAGGCACCAAAAGGCACUGAAGAGGACGAGGUGCAUGAAGCUAUUUUUCAUCUUUCCCAUGGAGUGUAAAACAAAGAAUGAAAGAUUAAACUGGAGCCAUGGAGAAGGAUCUGACCAGGCAAUUCAAGAGCAAUUAGAAACGGGAACCCAGGAGGCUUUGAAGCUGCUCUUAGAUAGCUUUGAGACAGGUUCAUAGGAGUGAUUUUUUUUUUUUUUUGGUGUUGUCCUUCCUUGUGGCAGAUGAUGAGAACCCCUCCCCUUUUAACUCAGACUCCUUACUUUCUCCUCACCACAGCAACAUUCUGACUCUGCACUUGCGACUCCAGACGCCUCAUUAGCCCCUGUAAACAGAUGAUGCUAUGUGAGCCUUUGAAGACGUGAUUCAUCAUCCCAGUAUCACUUGACACAGCCACUCCCACCUCAAUGCCAUGUCCUCUCUCCCUCUUCUCCAGGUCCCAAGCCCAUCCUCAAUACCACACUCCUCCCUUGACUUGAAAGUCCUGAGGAACUUGAGAUGCUCAGGCGUGGGUCCCAAUUCCUCAUUCAGAUUGUCACUUCAUUUCACCUCCUUUGGACAGCCCCUACCACCUUCUUCCAUCUCUCUUCACCCCAGGAUGCACUGGGCAGCCAGUACGAUAGAAAGUAAGACCAUGCGGCUGGCCAGCCAAGACCAUUCUGUGCUCCCAAGCUUUGAGACAGAGUCGUCAAGGUCUGAGGAUUGCCAAAGGGCAUCCCAUUGAGUGAGACAUGCAUUUUUAAUAAACUAUAUUUGACUUCCAUGAUGGGCAAGUUAUUAAGUCGUUUGACAGCCAAUGGCAUGAGGAAAUGAGAGAAUACCUUAGAAGUAGACAUUUCUUGGCAGAUAAGGGAGAAAUUCAGUGAGCUGGAGGCAAUAGAAAGGGAAAUGCAAAUAAAGAUGCAAUGCUUUUGCCUAUCUGCAUACAGUGGAGAAGCCAUUAAUAUAACAGUGAAUAGUGGGAUUUUUAUCAGUACUUGACUUGAAUGUCUUGAAAACUAGCCUAGCCUUGAAAGGAUCAGUCUUUUUAGCUUCAGACCAAGCCUCAGUCCUUUGUCUCUGUGUGGAGAAGAUGAAUUUGUUUUCUGAUGUGUUUUCCUCCUCCUUUCCCCAUCCCUCUGAAAUGAGAUCUGGGUUGGUUUUCCAUCACUCUCUGAUUCAGAAUUAUUAAGGAUAAUGAUAAGAAGUAAAUGGGUCUUUCUUACCCAGAGGCAUUUUAUUGAAUUGAUGGAUUCCCAUCCAGGCUGGCAGUCUCUCUCCCAGCACCACAGGUGGUCAAGUCAGUGAUCUUCAUUAUAGGGGACCCAUUUGAGACCCACUCUUCUAUGUCCUUUCCUGGCCAACGUAGGGUGCUACAAAGUUUCCUGUUCCUCCAGAGCCUGCAAACUGAUUGUCUGUCCUGUCUGUGUGUCCAUCUUUCACUGCUUUGAGAAAUCAUUUGCUUUGCAGCUUGUUUUUUUUUUUUUUUUUUUUUUUUUUUGUGAGCUCUUCUAGGAUUUGGGUUUUGUGUUUCCAAAUAGCUAGCUGACUGCCUCACCUUUCCUUACCCUCUUUGGGAUGACUUCUACUAACCUUGGAGCAUCUAGGAAACACACUGGCAAAUGCAGGCUACAACCUUAGUAGCAGGGUUUGGGCUAUCUAGCAACUUGACAUGACCUUGAGAAGCCAAGGGCAUAGGAGAGCUGGCUCUGCCCCUCGUCUGAGGGAUGGGAAGGGGCAGCCCCAGUGGCCUGGAUUGACCAGAUCAGCUAUCAUCCAGCCCACAGCUGGGUCUGGGGUUGGUCCAUCCUGCCAUCUUCCCCAUCUAGGACCUGCUGGAGCUUGUGAAGGAACUGGUCCUGUGGAACAAUAUCCACAGGAUCUCCACGACUCAGGGCAGCCACGGGAUAUCACAAAGGAGUUUCAGUGAGGAGCCAGUGAUGAUGGUGUACCAGAAACUAGAGGCCUUGAACCAGACCAGUGACUCAUUGCAGUGAAUAUUUGCUAGUAAAGCU
Non-coding RNA from Cricetulus griseus (Chinese hamster), 7107 nucleotides. NCBI's taxonomy places the organism in Eukaryota, Metazoa, Chordata, Mammalia, Rodentia, Cricetidae. The record is from RefSeq and is a predicted model, not a curated record.